Molecule: ribosomal RNA, 460 nt
Filed under: uncultured bacterium
Lineage: Bacteria
Description: partial 16S ribosomal RNA
Rfam family: Bacterial small subunit ribosomal RNA
Source: RNAcentral
CCUACGGGAGGCAGCAGUGAGGAAUAUUGGUCAAUGGGCGCGAGCCUGAACCAGCCAAGUAGCGUGAAGGAUGACGGCCCUACGGGUUGUAAACUUCUUUUAUAAAGGAAUAAAGUGAGGCACGUGUGCCUUUUUGUAUGUACUUUAUGAAUAAGGAUCGGCUAACUCCGUGCCAGCAGCCGCGGUAAUACGGAGGAUCCGAGCGUUAUCCGGAUUUAUUGGGUUUAAAGGGAGCGUAGAUGGGUUGUUAAGUCAGGUGUGAAAGUUUGCGGCUCAACCGUAAAACUGCAAUUGAUACUGGCAGCCUUGAGUGCAGUUGAGGUAGGCGGAAUUCGUGGUGUAGCGGUGAAAUGCUUAGAUAUCACGAAGAACUCCGAUUGCGAAGGCAGCUUACUAAACUGCGACUGACAUUGAUGCUCGAAGGUGUGGGUAUCAAACAGGAUUAGAUACCCUUGUAGUC